RNAcentral lists this ribosomal RNA (478 nucleotides) under uncultured bacterium. RNAcentral describes it as "partial 16S ribosomal RNA". It matches the Rfam family "Bacterial small subunit ribosomal RNA", at positions 29 to 507 of the family's 1533-position model. The record is from RNAcentral.
AUGAACGCUGGCGGCGUGCUUAACACAUGCAAGUCGAGCGAGAAGUUUUGAAAAGAUUCUUCGGAUGAAAUUUAAAAUGGAAAGCGGCGGGCGGGUGAGUAACGCGUAGGCAACCUGCCCCAUACAAAGGGAUAGCAUUUGGAAACGAAUAUUAAUACCUUAUGAAACUUAACUAGUGCAUGCUAGGUAGGUCAAAGAUUUAUCGGUAUGGGAUGGGCCUGCGUCUGAUUAGCUAGUUGGUGAGGUAACGGCUCACCAAGGCGACGAUCAGUAGCCGACCUGAGAGGGUGAACGGCCACAUUGGAACUGAGACACGGUCCAAACUCCUACGGGAGGCAGCAGUGGGGAAUAUUGCACAAUGGGGGAAACCCUGAUGCAGCAACGCCGCGUGAACGAUGAAGGCCUUUGGGUCGUAAAGUUCUGUUCUAGGUGAUGAAAACUGACAGUAACCUAGGAGAAAGCCCCGGCUAACUCCGUG